CAUUUGUGUUCACAUUCCUGAUUUCCCAAAUGUGCUUCGUAACCUCCUUCCUUCACUUCAAGGAUCUAUGUUAAAGUUUGGUGUCCAAAGAGUUUUCCUGGAGGUGAAGUCUUGGGCUACUGUUUGUGGAAUUUGAACAAGUUUCCUGGGAGAUUGUUUACCUACCAUCAUCUAGAAUGGAACCCAAGUCCAGAGCCAUUUUCAAAUGUCAUCCCUUUCUAGUUAUGGCAAAUAAGAAACCAAGAAACACAACAGGAUUUUGUCCUCUAGGCAAGAAAAAAAAAGAAGACAAGGGAAAGACAAAGGAAGGAAAUAGAAGGAAAGGACAAAGAAGGAAAGUCUACUCUGAAUCUUGACAUGUCAGCUUGAUUCUAGAAGUGUGUUUACCUGGAGGACUUACCCACAACUUUAACCUUGAUGCUUGCAUGUGCCUCUCCAGCUUCGUUUUUCAGAUUGAUGUGGUAAACACCAGAGUCAUCUCUUUCAGCUAUAUCAAUGACCAGAGUGCUGCUAUCAGGAAAAACUAGGUGAAUGCAGAAAAUUGCAUCCCGCUGAAAUGACCCAGCAAGGAAUGCACAAAAUCUGCAGACUCACACCUCAAACAUCUAUCAGCUACCUCAGUUCAUCCAUGUGAUAUAAGCCACACCCAUUUACAUCUGAGGUCACAACUACUCAUCAGAUUUUGAAUAAUCCUCUUUCUACUGCUUCACAACAGUUCGCAAGCCACAACACUUCCAGCAUUAAUUCUUCUUCAACAAACCAGAAGACUCGUUAGGAUCCAUAAUAACUGCCAGUGUAGAGGAGCCUCAGUUACUUUCGCUUUGAUCAUUAUCCCUGGGAGAAGAAGCCAACAGCUCCUGGUCACCACAAUAAGAGAUUUCAUUUUUACCUCUUACGAAGAGCUCAGUGGAACAUUUCUCAUCACCGGCUGUCACAUAAUACUCCGAAUCAUCUGUCAUCUGACAGUUAUUGAUAAACAGGAUUCUCUGGCAUCCUUUGUGUUCAAAGAUGUAUCUGUUUUGAAU
This 1025-nucleotide long non-coding RNA is filed under the name Pan troglodytes (chimpanzee). Its description in RNAcentral is "long non-coding RNA NONPTRT004054". Lineage: Eukaryota; Metazoa; Chordata; Mammalia; Primates; Hominidae. The record is from RNAcentral.